Molecule: ribosomal RNA, 253 nt
Filed under: uncultured bacterium
Lineage: Bacteria
Description: partial 16S ribosomal RNA
Rfam family: Bacterial small subunit ribosomal RNA
Source: RNAcentral
UACGGAGGGUGCAAGCGUUAAUCGGAAUUACUGGGCGUAAAGCGCACGCAGGUGGCUGAGUCAGUCGAUUGUGAAAGCCCUGGGCUUAACCUGGGAAUUGCAGUCGAUACUACUCAGCUAGAGUAUGGGAGAGGGUAGUGGAAUUCCCGGUGUAGCGGUGAAAUGCGUAGAUAUUGGGAGGAACACCGGUGGCGAAGGCGGCCCUCUGGACCGGUACUGACGCUGAGGAGCGAAAGCGUGGGGAGCGAACAGG